Molecule: microRNA precursor, 94 nt
Filed under: Canis lupus familiaris (dog)
Lineage: Eukaryota; Metazoa; Chordata; Mammalia; Carnivora; Canidae
Also listed under: 1 other name
Description: mir-8799 microRNA precursor family
Rfam family: mir-8799 microRNA precursor family
Source: Rfam by way of RNAcentral
AGGGGAUCACUGGAUCCUGGGCUGUGUCCCCUGAUGCCCUGGGCUCUGGGGACUGCACCCCUGGAAUCGCGCUCCCGGGGCCAUGCAGCCUCCU